RNAcentral lists this microRNA (22 nucleotides) under Gallus gallus (chicken). RNAcentral describes it as "gga-miR-1710". The record is from miRBase by way of RNAcentral. Lineage: Eukaryota; Metazoa; Chordata; Aves; Galliformes; Phasianidae.
UCAUCUGCUGCAUAACCAUCCA